Molecule: unclassified non-coding RNA, 1323 nt
Filed under: Hevea brasiliensis (rubber tree)
Lineage: Eukaryota; Viridiplantae; Streptophyta; Magnoliopsida; Malpighiales; Euphorbiaceae
Source: RNAcentral
GCUGACUGCUGCUACGCUCUCUCUUAGACUCAGCAAUCAGCAUCAACAUUCGCAUACAGGCGGCGGCGCAUUGACUGCUGAGAUAUGGCGAUGUUAAAUGCGGCUCGUCGAUUAUCAGCUGGAUCAGCUUUAUCAGAUUCACUGCGUUAUACUUCUUCUUCCUGGAGGUUUUUCUCUACGUCUUUCAGGGAGGAAAGAGAUACGUUUGGUCCUAUUCUCGUUCCAUCGGACAAGUUAUGGGGGGCUCAAACUCAAAGAUCAUUGCAGAAUUUUGAAAUAGGGGGUGAUCGUGAAAGAAUGCCUGAGCCAAUCAUACGUGCAUUCGGUAUUAUUAAAAAGUGUGCAGCCAAGGUGAACAUGGACUAUGGCCUUGACCAAUCUAUUGGAAAAGCAAUAAUGCAAGCAGCUGAAGAGGUUGCAGAAGGAAAACUAAAUGACCAUUUUCCUUUGGUGGUUUGGCAGACUGGCAGUGGCACUCAAAGUAACAUGAAUGCUAACGAGGUUAUUGCAAAUCGAGCAGCUGAAAUUCUUGGCUAUAACCGCGGAGACAAACAUGUGCAUCCAAAUGACCAUGUAAAUAAAUCGCAAUCUUCAAAUGAUACAUUUCCAACGGUGAUGCACAUUGCUGCAGCUAUGGAGCUAAAUAAAAGAUUAGUACCAAACUUGAAACAGUUGCAUACUUCACUAAAUUCAAAGUCAGUCGAAUUCAAGGACAUUAUCAAGAUUGGGCGAACCCACACACAAGAUGCAACACCUUUGACUCUUGGACAAGAAUUUAGUGGCUAUGCAACUCAAGUGAAAUAUGGAAUCGAUAGAGUCUUAGGCACCCUUCCACGCAUGUAUCAGCUCGCACAAGGGGGCACAGCAGUAGGCACUGGAUUGAAUACAAAGAAAGGGUUUGACAUAAAAAUUGCUGCAGCAGUUGCAGAGGAAACAAAUUUGCCAUUUGUUACAGCUGAAAACAAGUUUGAAGCAUUGGCUGCUCAUGAUGCAUUUGCUGAAACUAGUGGAGCCUUAAAUACCGUGGCUGCUUCCCUUAUGAAGAUUGGGAAUGAUAUACGCUUCUUGGGAAGUGGUCCCCGCUGCGGUCUUGGCGAGCUCAGUCUUCCUGAAAAUGAACCUGGAAGCAGUAUAAUGCCUGGCAAGGUAAAUCCUACUCAGUGUGAGGCUCUCACCAUGGUCUGUGCUCAGGUUAUGGGGAAUCAUGUGGCUGUUACUGUUGGUGCAUCAAAUGGCCAUUUUGAGCUGAAUGUCUUCAAGCCGAUGAUUGCUAAUGCUCUCCUACAUUCAGUAAGAUUGCUAGGCGAUGCAUCUGCUUCCUUU